This 24-nucleotide non-coding RNA is filed under the name Arabidopsis thaliana (thale cress). Lineage: Eukaryota; Viridiplantae; Streptophyta; Magnoliopsida; Brassicales; Brassicaceae. The record is from RNAcentral.
GAUUUUCUCGCCAAAAACGUAAAC